RNAcentral lists this ribosomal RNA (462 nucleotides) under Streptococcus mitis. Its description in RNAcentral is "bacterial SSU rRNA". It matches the Rfam family "Bacterial small subunit ribosomal RNA", at positions 28 to 474 of the family's 1533-position model. The record is from RNAcentral. Lineage: Bacteria; Bacillati; Bacillota; Bacilli; Lactobacillales; Streptococcaceae.
GACGAACGCUGGCGGCGUGCCUAAUACAUGCAAGUAGAGCGCUGAAGGAGGAGCUUGCUUCUCCGGAUGAGUUGCGAACGGGUGAGUAACGCGUAGGUAACCUGCCUGGUAGCGGGGGAUAACUAUUGGAAACGAUAGCUAAUACCGCAUAAGAGUAGAUGUUGCAUGACAUUUGCUUAAAAGGUGCAAUUGCACCACUACCAGAUGGACCUGCGUUGUAUUAGCUAGUUGGUGGGGUAACGGCUCACCAAGGCGACGAUACAUAGCCGACCUGAGAGGGUGAUCGGCCACACUGGGACUGAGACACGGCCCAGACUCCUACGGGAGGCAGCAGUAGGGAAUCUUCGGCAAUGGACGGAAGUCUGACCGAGCAACGCCGCGUGAGUGAAGAAGGUUUUCGGAUCGUAAAGCUCUGUUGUAAGAGAAGAACGAGUGUGAGAGUGGAAAGUUCACACUGUGACG